CCUACGGGAGGCAGCAGUGGGGAAUCUUGCGCAAUGGGCGAAAGCCUGACGCAGCCAUGCCGCGUGAAUGAUGAAGGUCUUAGGAUUGUAAAAAUUCUUUCACCGGGGACGAUAAUGACGGUACCCGGAGAAGAAGCCCCGGCUAACUUCGUGCCAGCAGCCGCGGUAAUACGAAGGGGGGCUAGCGUUGCUCGGAAUUACUGGGCGUAAAAGGGAGCGUAGGCGGAUAGUUUAGUCAGAGGUGAAAGCCCAGGGCUCAACCUUGGAAUUGCCUUUGAUACUGGCUAUCUUGAGUAUGGGAGAGGUUAGCGGAACUCCGAGUGUAGAGGUGAAAUUCGUAGAUAUUCGGAAGAACACCAGUGGCGAAGGCGGCUAACUGGCCCAUUACUGACGCUGAGGCUCGAAAGCGUGGGGAGCAAACAGGAUUAGAUACCCUGGUAGUCCACGCCGUAAACGAUGAGUGCUAGUUGUCGGCAUGCAUGCAUGUCGGUGGACGCAGCUAACGACAUUAAGACACCUCCGCCGUCGGGGAGGUACGGUACGGCGAAGAAGUUAAAACUAACGUAAAGGAAAGUUAGUUACGGACGUUGAGACGUUGCCGACGGACGACGACGAGGGGAGGAGG
Molecule: ribosomal RNA, 625 nt
Filed under: uncultured bacterium
Lineage: Bacteria
Description: bacterial SSU rRNA
Rfam family: Bacterial small subunit ribosomal RNA (bases 1-524)
Source: RNAcentral